GCCGGCCUAGCUCAAUUGGUAGAGCAACUGACUUGUAAUCAGUAGGUUGGGGGUUCAAGUCCUCUGGCCGGCACCAUU
RNAcentral lists this transfer RNA (78 nucleotides) under Bacillus velezensis YAU B9601-Y2. Its description in RNAcentral is "tRNA-Thr". It matches the Rfam family "tRNA". From Rfam's summary of the family: Transfer RNA (tRNA) molecules are approximately 80 nucleotides in length. Their secondary structure includes four short double-helical elements and three loops (D, anti-codon, and T loops). Lineage: Bacteria; Bacillati; Bacillota; Bacilli; Caryophanales; Bacillaceae. The record is from RNAcentral.